GCAGGGAGCCGUGAAGCGAGCCACCUGGGAAGUACGGCCGCAAGGCUGAAACUUAAAGGAAUUGGCGGGGGAGCACUACAACGGGUGGAGCCUGCGGUUUAAUUGGACUCAACGCCGGAAAACUCACCUGGGGCGACAGCAAUAUGUAGGUCAGGCUGAAGACCUUACCUGAAUCGCUGAGAGGAGGUGCAUGGCCGUCGUCAGUUCGUACUGUGAAGCAUCCUGUUAAGUCAGGCAACGAGCGAGACCCGUGCCCACUGUUGCCAGCAUAUCCUUCGGGAUGAUGGGUACUCUGUGGGGACCA
Molecule: ribosomal RNA, 304 nt
Filed under: Methanolobus sp. enrichment culture clone CIBANICRA-14
Lineage: Archaea; Methanobacteriati; Methanobacteriota; Methanomicrobia; Methanosarcinales; Methanosarcinaceae
Description: bacterial SSU rRNA
Rfam family: Archaeal small subunit ribosomal RNA
Source: RNAcentral